GACGAACGCUGGCGGCGUGCUUAACACAUGCAAGUCGAACGGAAAGGCCCUGCUUUUGUGGGGUGCUCGAGUGGCGAACGGGUGAGUAACACGUGAGUAACCUGCCCUUGACUUUGGGAUAACUUCAGGAAACUGGGGCUAAUACCGGAUAGGAGCUCCUGCUGCAUGGUGGGGGUUGGAAAGUUUCGGCGGUUGGGGAUGGACUCGCGGCUUAUCAGCUUGUUGGUGGGGUAGUGGCUUACCAAGGCUUUGACGGGUAGCCGGCCUGGGAGGGUGACCGGCCACAUUGGGACUGAGGUACGGCCCAGACUCCUACGGGAGGCAGCAGUGGGGAAUAUUGCACAAUGGGCGGAAGCCUGAUGCAGCAGCGCCGCGUGCGGGAUGACGGCCUUCGGGUUGUAAACCGCUUUCGCCUGUGACGAAGCGUGAGUGACGGUAAUGGGUAAAGAAGCACCGGCUAACUACGUG
RNAcentral lists this ribosomal RNA (468 nucleotides) under uncultured bacterium. RNAcentral describes it as "partial 16S ribosomal RNA". It matches the Rfam family "Bacterial small subunit ribosomal RNA", at positions 28 to 507 of the family's 1533-position model. The record is from RNAcentral.